CAAUAGCGUAUAUUAAAGUUGUUGCAGUUAAAAAGCUCGUAGUUGGAUUUGUGGUUCGUCCCGCCGGCUGGGUCAUUGACUUUUGCUGUGCUGGUCGUCCAUCCUUGGGUGGAAUCUGUGUGGCAUUAGGUUGUCGCGCGGGGGAUGCCCAUCGUUUACUGUGAAAAAAUUAGAGUGUUCAAAGCAGGCUUAUGCCGUUGAAUAUAUUAGCAUGGAAUAAUGAUAUAGGACCUUGGUACUAUUUUGUUGGUUUGCGCACUGAGGUAAUGAUUAAUAGGGACAGUUGGGGGUAUUCGUAUUCCAUUGUAAGAGGUGAAAUUCUUGGAUUUUUGGAAGACGAACUACUGCGAAAGCAUUUACCAAGGAUGUUUUCAUUAA
This 378-nucleotide ribosomal RNA is filed under the name uncultured eukaryote. RNAcentral's name for it is "partial 18S ribosomal RNA". It matches the Rfam family "Eukaryotic small subunit ribosomal RNA", at positions 592 to 976 of the family's 1831-position model. The record is from RNAcentral.